Molecule: long non-coding RNA, 1143 nt
Organism: Pantherophis guttatus
Lineage: Eukaryota; Metazoa; Chordata; Lepidosauria; Squamata; Colubridae
Source: RefSeq, a predicted model, not a curated record
AGAGAGAGGAACGCUAAUGGCUACAACUGAUGGCCAGGCAUCCCUGUUUCGCUUCUCCUAAAAUGAAGCCAGAUGGUUUACGGAUGGAUUUAUUUUUUGCUUCGUGCAGGGAGAGAGAUAGCAACCAGGGAAAGGAGACGGGAAGCUGCAGACGAUCCCAAAAACCAAGCCGGUAGCGGGGAACCGAGGAAAUCGUCGUUUCAAACAAGCAAAGUCAUGGAUUGCUUCAGCCACAGAAUAUUUCGUAUUUCCAGAUACACAUGCCUCAAUGUCUUCAGGACUCAGCUGUGUUUGUACGAAUAGAUGAAGUCUACUGUCUGAAAGCAAAAUUGGAUUCUGGAGUACCCUUUAAAAAAACAAAAAACAAAAAUUUCAUCUGCCUUCCAAGAACAUUUAUUCAAUAUUUUUUGCCUCAAAGUUAUUUUUAACUUCGUAUCCAUUGCAGUUUGAACACAGUAUAAAUGUUAGAAUGUUUGAGUAAGUGAUACUUACCUUUAUUAAAGUAUUUGGGAAUUUAGGUGAGUAAAAUAACAUGAAGCUAAUAGUUAUGAACAUCUGUUAUAUAAGUAAUUUUCAAGGACUUUUUUUUAUUUCCCCAUCUGUUGCUACCAUGUGAAUCGAUUACUAGUUUGGCUGGGGGUGGGGGGGAGAAUGUGUGCCUCAAUGUGUGGGAAAACUAACAUAGGAAAUGAUGCAUAAUCAGUAAUUCUGAAUAUGUAAUAAAACUUGCCUUAAAAGAAGGGCAUUAUAGAAUUUACAGAAAUUAGAUGCCUAUGUAAAACAAAUACUUAUUUUGUUUGUGUGUGUUACUUUCAAAAAGGCUGAUAAAACUAUUUCAGAUGAACGGCAAAAAGAAUCUUACUUCCGUUAAUUUUUAAAAGUGUUUUGACGCCAGCAUAUAAUCUUAAAAUGAGAAUGCUCAAUUCAGUAAAUAUUUAAAACAAUUUAAUACAACAUUAAAUAUAUCCAACUAUAUUUUUAUUAACAACAGAAUGGUCUUGCUUCCACUAUACCAUGUCAUAAAAUCUAUUUUUUCCAAUCUAGUUUUAUUCAACAUUAAAAUACAUUUCUAUUGGUUUAUUUAGUCCAGCAAAUACAACCCCCAAAAUAACAUUACUUCUAUAUUAAAAUUGUGGACGUUUA